UUGGAGGGCAAGUCUGGUGCCAGCAGCCGCGGUAAUUCCAGCUCCAAUAGCGUAUAUUAAAGUUGUUGCAGUUAAAAAGCUCGUAGUUGAAUUUCGGGAUCAGCAGGUUGGUCGUGCCACUGGUAUGCACUGGUCUAGCUGGUUCCUCCUUCUUGAAGAACCAUGAUGCCAUUUAGUUGGUGUUGCGGGGAAUCGGGACUGUUACUUUGAAAAAAUUAGAGUGUUUAAAGCAGGCUAGCGCUUGAAUACAUUAGCAUGGAAUAAUGAAAUAGGACGUCGAUUCUAUUUUGUUGGUUUCUAGGGUUGACGUAAUGAUUAAUAGGGAUAGUUGGGGGCACUAGUAUUCAAUUGUCAGAGGUGAAAUUCUUGGAUUUAUUGAAGACUAACUACUGCGAAAGCAUUUGCCAAGGAUGUUUUCAUUAAUCAAGAACGAAAGUUAGGGGAUCGAAGACGAUUAGAUACCGUCGUAGUCUUAACCAUAAACUAUGCCGACUAGGGAUCGGAUGAUGUUAAUUUUUUAAUGACUCAUUCGGCGCCUUACGGGAAAC
Molecule: ribosomal RNA, 548 nt
Filed under: uncultured Glomus
Lineage: Eukaryota; Fungi; Glomeromycota; Glomeromycetes; Glomerales; Glomeraceae
Description: SSU rRNA
Rfam family: Eukaryotic small subunit ribosomal RNA
Source: RNAcentral